This 2108-nucleotide long non-coding RNA is filed under the name Bactrocera latifrons. RNAcentral's name for it is "uncharacterized LOC108973858, transcript variant X3". Lineage: Eukaryota; Metazoa; Arthropoda; Insecta; Diptera; Tephritidae. The record is from RNAcentral.
ACGCUGGUGUAGAAAAAUGUUUUAGCUUCAUCAUACCGUGAGGCAAAAAACGAAUAAGUUCUGUUCUCUUUAGAUAUUUGUGUUGUGACAAGUGUACUUUUAUACUAAAUAUCCGUACAUGUUUGAAAAAUAUAGGAAAGAUAAGUGUUGAAAUAUCCAAAUGCAGAAGUUUUAUUUGGUUAUUGUUACUGCACAUUAUUGUAAUAACGGGAAAAAUGCCACGUCAUCGUGGAAGAGCGCGAAAUAUUGGUAGAAGUACCCCGAACGCGUAAUUGGGCCAUGAGCAUCGAUUUAAUAGAUCAGUCGAAGAACAAUAGGCGAAUAAUAUAAAUUUAAGAAAUCAAGUUGCACUCGGGCAAAUGAAAACUCAGGGCAACCCACUCAACGACUUCGUGCUAAUAAUUUAAGGCAACGAGGGGCACGUCAACAAGCGACCAAAACACAUAGAGAACAUAACCAACGGCGUAUGUAGAAUAAUCGAGCAUUGGCACGAGCAUCACUUAAUCGUUUCUAGUUUGAAUAUGAUCCUGAAAUAAACGAUUCGUUACAUCCAUUCAUCACGAUCGGUAGUAUGGACCUUUGUCCAUGUAAUAGAUUGUCAUGCUUUUAAGAACAAAGGAGAAUCAACUGGUUUAUGUUGCGCAUCUGGGAAAAUUUCAUUGCCACCGCUCAAUAUACCACUGGAGCCUUUAAAACACUUUUAGCUCGAACCACAUAUCAAUCGAAAUUGUUUUUGUGGAAAUUCAAUUCAUGCUUCCAAAUGACGUCAUUUGGAGCAACACAAUUGUUCAUUAUGAAGAUGGUCGGAAUUUUGAAUCUACAUUCAAGAUUCAAGGUCAAGAGUUCCAUCGAAUCAGUUCAUUGCUUGUCUGAUGCCGAUCCAAAAUUUUUACAAAUUUACACACGCUGCUCUUACAACCAUAUAGAGCAGAUGUAGGAAUGAGAAAUUGUGGACAUUUUGGAAAGGUUUUUGAUUGUUCAAGACCCUUUCUAACAGACUGCAAAAUGACAAAUAUGUCAUUGUCAGUAAAGCAGACGAAGUGCCCUAUGGAAAGCACGCAGUGAUAUACUAUAUAAUGCUCCAACAGUUAAUGAAGUCGCAGUUGUUAUGGCUGUGGACUCAUGCGAACGUCGAGACAUGCGCAUAGAACGCAGAGAUAAUACGAUGCAAAUAAUUUAAGACAAUCAUGGUUCUUGCGAUGCUUUGUGGUAUCCGUUGAUAUUUUGGGAAGGAGAAGAUGGAUAUAAUUUAAAUAUAAUAUUAAACAAAGGAAUGCAACUACAGGCACAACUUAUAGAUUAUCCUACAAUACUUUUAAGUCAAUAAUUUCUGUUUAUCUCAUAAAUACAUUUAUUUGCAGGUGAAGAACUAAUGAAUACAGCCAGUGGAUAUGUAGUAACGUAUGCCACUAAUUGCUGCCCAAAUGUGCACAGAAGAGUUCUAACCACUUUAACUCAUCUUUAAUAAAAAUGCACACGGCCUAAAAUAUACAAUCAUUUAACGUUUAUUUCUAGUAUAAAUUUAUAUUUUACAAAAUUCGUUAUUAUAAAUCUCGACGGAAUAUGCGAUGAGACUUCACUUCCGAGAAAGAUUUUCCGAUGCUGCUGAUCGAGAAGCUGCGGGUCUAGGUCGCAUUGGAUAAUCGCGUUAGAGGCGUUGGAUGUUGACGCGGCAGUGUAUGAGCGAACAAAAAGUAUCUGCUUUCUCCUUGUCCAUCCUUUUUGAUGAGUCAAACAUCGCUGCGUCACCGUGCUUCUCUCACCAUCAAUUAUAUGAUGCAUGUUCCAGAUUUAGAAAACCAUCAAAUUUGUUUGUUUACACGACUCAAGGAUUGUCACCGCUUAUUGAAAAAAGUUUGAAAUUUUCGGAUUAAUGAAAUAUGGCAACUUUUCUCGUGCACAGCUGUGCUUUCGUGCUCUUAGAAAUUUGUUUAAUUUAUAUAAUACUAGAGGACGCAUCCAAGCUUCACUGUGGCUGAUAUAUAGAUAAUGCUACAACUACCAUCUAUAUGAUUUCUAUUGGUUGGAUUAUAACUACGGAGGCUACUAUAUAUAUUUCUGUGUUUAGUUUUUAAGAACUUUUUAUUUUUGUAAAAAUUUGUUUUUUU